RNAcentral lists this ribosomal RNA (373 nucleotides) under uncultured organism. RNAcentral's name for it is "partial 16S ribosomal RNA". It matches the Rfam family "Bacterial small subunit ribosomal RNA", at positions 527 to 896 of the family's 1533-position model. The record is from RNAcentral.
GUAGGUGGCAAGCGUUGUCCGGAAUUAUUGGGCGUAAAGCGCGCGCAGGCGGUUCUUUAAGUCUGAUGUGAAAGCCCACGGCUCAACCGUGGAGGGUCAGUGGAAACUGGAGAACUUGAGUACAGAAGAGGAAAGCGGAAUUCCACGUGUAGCGGUGAAAUGCGUAGAGAUGUGGAGGAACACCAGUGGCGAAGGCGGCUUUCUGGUCUGUAACUGACGCUGAGGCGCGAAAGCGUGGGGAGCAAACAGGGAUUAGAUACCCUGGUAGUCCACGCCGUAAACGAUGAGUGCUAAGUGUUAGGGGGUUUCCGCCCCCUUAGUGCUGCAGCUAACGCAUUAAGCACUCCGCCUGGGGAGUACGGCCGCAAGGCUG